Molecule: ribosomal RNA, 434 nt
Filed under: uncultured bacterium
Lineage: Bacteria
Description: partial 16S ribosomal RNA
Rfam family: Bacterial small subunit ribosomal RNA
Source: RNAcentral
ACGGAAGGCAGCAGUAGGGAAUAUUGGUCAAUGGGGGAAACCCUGAACCAGCGACGCCGCGUGAGUGAAGAAGUAUUUCGGUAUGUAAAGCUCUAUCAGCAGGGACGAUAAUGACGGUACCUGACUAAGAAGCCCCGGCUAACUACGUGCCAGCAGCCGCGGUAAUACGUAGGGGGCAAGCGUUAUCCGGAUUUACUGGGUGUAAAGGGAGCGUAGGUGGCCAUGCAAGUCAGAUGUGAAAUCCCGGGGCUCAACCCCGGAGCUGCAUUUGAAACUGCGUAGCUAGAGUGCAGGAGAGGUAAGCGGAAUUCCUAGUGUAGCGGUGAAAUGCGUAGAUAUUAGGAGGAACACCAGUGGCGAAGGCGGCUUUCUGGACUGUAACUGACACUGAGGCUCGAAAGCGUGGGGAGCGAACAGGAUUAGAUACCCUGGUA